Molecule: long non-coding RNA, 312 nt
Organism: Aquila chrysaetos chrysaetos
Lineage: Eukaryota; Metazoa; Chordata; Aves; Accipitriformes; Accipitridae
Exons: 2
Source: RefSeq, a predicted model, not a curated record
GGGAUAAAAACCAGAGCAGACCAUUAUUGCCACAGCUGGAACUACUGGAAGUGAGAAGGUCCAGGGCUGGCAAUGCAGAAUUUUCAGUGAUCCUUCGCAAACAACAGCAGAGUCUCCACCCAUCAAUCUAAAAGGCACUGGACUUUGCAACUCACAUUUCAACACUACUUAUCUGGAUUAGGAAAGCAAUUACUUGCCAAUUAAGACACGUAAAUAGGCUCAAGAAAACAAUGUAACAUAGCAAAAAAAUACUAACUUAAUGUUUUGAAUAAAAAGAAACACUGUAAUGAUUUUUUUUUUUCUUGUAAGCAG